Molecule: ribosomal RNA, 251 nt
Filed under: uncultured prokaryote
Description: partial 16S rRNA
Rfam family: Bacterial small subunit ribosomal RNA
Source: RNAcentral
ACGGAGGGUCCAAGCGUUAUCCGGAUUUACUGGGUUUAAAGGGUGCGUAGGUGGUCAGAUAAGUCAGUGGUGAAAUCCUGCGGCUCAACCGCAGAACUGCCAUUGAAACUGCCUGACUUGAGUGUAGUUGAGGCGGGUGGAAUGUAUCAUGUAGCGGUGAAAUGCUUAGAUAUGAUACAGAACACCAAUUGAGUAGUCAGCUCGCUAAACUAUUACUGACACUGAGGCACGAAAGCGUGGGUAUCGAACAG